CUCUCUGUGAUUGGCUGUUAGGUAGAGCUGUCGGACAGCACCUCCCACACCAUCACAGACGCGUACGUGGGGAAGGAAUACAUCAUCCAGGUGGCGGCCAAGGACACAGAGAUCGGCACGUGGAGCGACUGGAGCGUGGCGGUGCAUGCCACGCCCUGGAUGGACCAGCACAAACAGAUCACCUCCACCACCGAGGCCGACGCCCCCAUAGAGACCACGCCCUCUACCGCCCCUCCCUCUGCAGAGCCGCAGGUGGGCGGAGCUGUGGAGGGCGCCGCCUCCAGGCCACGCCCCCUCUGGUCAUCCUGCCUGCUGCUGGCGGCCACGCUGCUCGUCAUCAUGUGAUAUAAUUGUCUCAUUCCUGUGGAAGACGUAAAGGAUCUGUUCUGUCUAUUUUGCACAUGGUCAUGGAUAUUGUGCAUUGAUAAUUUAAUUCAAGUUUCUCACUAAAAGUAAAGUAGAAAAAAAGAAGACCACGUAAAAGUUUUAAAAGAUACAUUCUUCAAAAGAAAAACAAAACACAGUGCCCUCUAGAGGAAGUAGCAUCCCGUCGAUACUCAGACACAGGAAGCCGAGGACACAUGGACAGGAAGUCAGUGGUUUGGGAUAACGAGAGUGAACAAGACACCCGCCAGCCAGCACAAGGAAGAAAGUUAUCCUCCUGAUCUUCACUCUUUUAUCACCAUUGACCCCCAUCCCUAUUUCAUCCCUCCAACAUCCUCUCCUUCCUCCAGCAAUGUGUGGAACUCCGGUUCUAGAAUUCUUUGUCAUCAUGUGCAGUGACAUACAGCUAACUCAUCAUGCCAAAGACUCGCCCAGGAACAGACACACUCUCUCACAAUCCUUAGCUUCCUGCCUUUGUGUGUGUGUGGGUAAUGAAAAGAGGGGAUGGAGAGGGAGGGGCAUAGAGGGAAGAGGGGGGGGGGAGGCGUCAGAGGGAAAGACACCUGAAGACUCUUGAUUCUAGCAAUGGCUGCCACGUACACACACACACACACACACACGUAGGUACACACACACACACACCUGAGGACAACAUUUUCUGGAGGAGUCAAUCAUGAUUCUGAAUCCUUGAGUUUGCUCUAUGUUCUGUGCAUCACCACAGAGACGGGACUGUACAAACCCAGUGGAUUAGAGAGCGUUAGACCGGUCCGGACCGGACUGGACCAGAGGGCUAUCAUAUGGACAGUUUAGUUCAGAGAGCGUUGAUGGUCUCCUGGAACAGGUCCAAGCUCUGAGCUGAAACAUCACUUUGCUUUUUAAUUCCAUUGCCUUUGAGAAAAAGAAAAAGAAGAAAAAAAAGGUUUUUUCCAAUUUUGCGUUUAAUAGCCAAGAUCACACGUUAAUAUUCUGUUAUUGGAGGACUAUUGUUGUGCUUAUGUGUGUGUUUAUUAUAAAGAUAAGAAUACACUUACAGGACCUUAGUUUUGUUUUACAGGCGUUCAUAAUUGCUUAAUUCUCCUUGAUCCUAUUUUGUAAACUAUGAUAUGUAUCUUUAACAUGAAGAAAGUUUAUUAUUUAAUGAUGUAUGUAUUAGCUUUAGACUCCGUAACCUGCAUCCUGGGUUAUUUUAUAGCUGUAUAUACAAUAAGAGGUUGUUCAUUAAAUGUGACCAUUUCACAAUGA
This is a long non-coding RNA of Osmerus eperlanus (European smelt), 1626 nucleotides long. RefSeq lists it as uncharacterized. The transcript has 4 exons. The record is from RefSeq and is a predicted model, not a curated record. NCBI's taxonomy places the organism in Eukaryota, Metazoa, Chordata, Actinopteri, Osmeriformes, Osmeridae.